GGGGCGCUAGCUCAAUUGGAAGAGCGCCGCCUUUGCAAGGCGGAGGUUACCGGUUCGAGACCGGUGCGCUCCA
RNAcentral lists this transfer RNA (73 nucleotides) under Planctomycetota bacterium. RNAcentral's name for it is "Planctomycetes bacterium (freshwater metagenome) tRNA-Ala". It matches the Rfam family "tRNA". Rfam says of the family: Transfer RNA (tRNA) molecules are approximately 80 nucleotides in length. Their secondary structure includes four short double-helical elements and three loops (D, anti-codon, and T loops). The record is from RNAcentral. Lineage: Bacteria; Pseudomonadati; Planctomycetota. RNAcentral also lists the same sequence under 1 other name.